GUGUGUGUGUGUGUGUGUGCUUGCAGCCGUCUAACAUGAUGAAUGGGAGUACAUCAGACCCAAGGCUGCAUCCUGAAGAGUUUGGUUUGUGCUACGCCAACAGGCUCUUCUAAUGAAGGCAGAGGGCUUCAGAGCACGCUUCAGGAGGUCCAUGGGGCCCUCUCAUGGAAACAGGAACUUGUUACAGCAUCGUAACAGGUUUCCAAAGCCUGUAGCCAUAGAUUAGGAAAGAACUGGACUGGUAGGCUCGGACUAAAAGGGGCUUUAUAACCCGAUAACUGGCUUGGAAUGACGUGAAGUGUGUGUGUGUGUGUGUGUGUGUGUGUGUGUGUGUGUGUGUGUGUGUGUUGAAGUGUUGGACCGUAUGCUGGAAGGGGUGGAGAAGAAUGAACCCAUCAAUUUAGUGGAGCAAUGCUUCAAAACAAAGGAUGUCUGGCAGAUCAAGUUGGCUGCCACUACAAGUCAAGUCAAAGUGUUCUGUGUGUAGGUGUGUGUGUGUAUGUUACUAAGUCAAAGUGUUCUGUGUGUAGGUGUGUGUGUGUGUGUGUAUGUUACUACAAGUCAAAGUGUUCUGUGUGUGUGUGUGUGUGUGUAUGUUACUACAAGUCAAAGUGUUCUGUGUGUAGGUGUGUGUGUGUGUGUGUGUGUGUUACUACAAGUCAAGUUAAAGUGUUCUGUGUGUAGGUGUGUGUGUGUGUGUAUGCUACUACAAGUCAAGUUAAAGUGUUCUGUGUGUAGGUGUGUGUGUGUAUGUAUGCUACUACAAGUCAAGUUAAAGUGUUCUGUGUGUAGGUGUGUGUGUGUGUAUGUUACUAGAAAGUCAAGUCAAAGUGUUCUGCGUGUAGGUGUGUGUGUGUGUGUGUGUAGGUGUGUGUGUAUGUUACUACAAGUCAAGUUAAAGUGUUCUGUGUGUAGGUGUGUGUGUGUGUGUGUGUGUAUGUUACUACUACAAGUCAAGUCAAAGUGUUCUGUGUGUAGGUGUGUGUGUGUGUGUAGGUGUGUGUG
Long non-coding RNA from Clupea harengus (Atlantic herring), 1005 nucleotides. The record is from Ensembl. Lineage: Eukaryota; Metazoa; Chordata; Actinopteri; Clupeiformes; Clupeidae.